GCAGAAGAGACCUGAAGGACAGAAGUAGGCGAUGAAAUAGCAAAGUGGGAACUGGGAGAAGAAACUGACUAGACUUGAAAGCAUAGCCGAGAUGAGAAGCAUGGAGUAGCAUGCUGGUAAGAUGGAACCAGGGCUGAUGUUGCUGGGGAAAGUAGUCCAGCCUGGCUUGCCAGAGGAUUUAAUAGUUUCUUGUGUGUAAAUCAGAGGCUGAAUCAUAGGAAAUUACUCAUAUUUGACCGUAUUUUACCUAUAAAAACAACAGUUUCAUAUGAUACAACCUAUUUGUUGACUUGACUAGCUAGCUUCGUGGCAAAAAAGAAGUAAAAGGAAUCAUAAUGGUCCGCAGGGCAUUAACAACCUAAGUAAAACUUUCACUGGGACAGGAAUAGACAAAGGAGACACUCUCCAAUAAUUAGAAAAUAAAGAGCAACUACAAUUAUUUGUGAAUAUGGCGGUGAGUUUCCUUUAAUCAAAGACAACCAUGACAAAUUUAUUAACUAUCAAAAGCUACAUUUUACUAAAAACAAUCUGCCUUUAAAAAUGUUGAAUCAUACAAUAUGUACGAUACAUGCCGCUUUCCGUUUUGGACUUCACUAUCCAUUUGAGUCCUAAAAAGGGGAAGAAUAGCUGGUUAACAGUUUAUAAAUGAUAAACCAAAAGUUCAUAUAAUAUACAUAAAUUAAAUCCAA
This 689-nucleotide long non-coding RNA is filed under the name Homo sapiens (human). RNAcentral's name for it is "HSALNT0169241". Lineage: Eukaryota; Metazoa; Chordata; Mammalia; Primates; Hominidae. The record is from RNAcentral.